UUCCGUCAGGAUAUAAAUGGAUUUUUGUUGCAGCAACUCACAUGUGUAAUGGAUUUAUACUAUAGUUUCACAGAUUAGAUAUUUCGCCGGAUGUAUAAAUAUGAAGCAUCAGCUUGGCGUUUCCACUCAUGGCCAAAUAUGGUCGUGAGAGGAAGCCCUCAGCCCACUUGCCGGCAGUGGGAGAAGAUGGAACGAGAUGGAUUUUGGCCGACACUCUGCAAAUGUUUUCAUCGAUCAAACAUUUGAUCUCAAUACAGUUUUCUGUUCCCAAAACUAGAAUCUGUAAUGAACCGAGUGGACUAAGUUUUGUAGACUUUACCCUUUGCAAAAGUUUUUAAAAAUCGCGUUUAGAAGGAGUGCAAAGACGAAUUGAGUUACUGCGCACGUGCACUUCACAGAGUAUGCGUUCCCUAACGAAAAUAUGCAGAUGCUGCUAGAACGCGCCAAUAGAAUCUCGCUAGCUCGUGCUUGGCUCUACCCACCUCCUUACUUGCUCUGCCCACUGUAACUCAUUUGUUCCCCUUGGAAAAGACAGGCUGUAGAAAAGAUAUGCUGUGGUAUCUCUUGGUUUAGUUAUACACAUUUUUGAUAGUUCAGUUAGGGGCGGUAAUGGCUGCCAAUCGCCGUUAAACUCCACCAAAGAAGAAGAAGAAGAAGAAGCAAACGCUCGUGUUGUUCUUCAAGGUUAUGUUAUCAUUGUAUAAUGUAUGGUUCAAUUGUAUUCGUUUUUAAAGAUGUAUAAUUUUUUGCAAGCCCCAUUACGGGAAAUAGUUACAUGUAAAUGUUCUCGACAUCUAUCAAUUCCAUGUCUAUCUGUAAACGAAAGUACCAAAUCGAUCUCAUCACCUCUACCAAGGCACUAUAUGUCUGUGUUUGAAGGAAACAUGUUCCAUCAUGAACUCCCUUUUGUAUUGGAUGACCAGUGGUGUAAAAAGUACCCAACUGUCAUAGUUGAGUAAAGAUACCUUAAUAGAAAAUGACUCAAGUAAAAGUCAUUUUCUCAAGUAAACAUUUACUUUUGAUACUGAAGUAAAAUACUACUUCAGUAAAAGUUUAAAAGGAUUUGGUUUGAAAUAUACGUAAGUAUCAAAAGUAAAAGUAUACAUCUUUUCAAAUUCCUUAUAUAAAGCAAACCAGGUGUCACCUUUUUCUUGUUUUUUUAAAUGUACGUAUAGCCAGGGGCAUGCUCCAACAUUCAGUAUUUUAUACAAACAAAGCAUGUGUUUAGUGAGUCUGCCAGAUCUGAGGCAGUAGUGAUGUUCUCUUAAUAAGUGUGUGAAUUAGACCAUUUUCCUGUCCUGCUAACCAUUCAAAAUGUAACGAGUACUUUUGGAUGUCAGGGAAAAUGUAUGGAGUAAAAAGUACAUCAUUUUCUUUAGGAAUGUAGUGAAGUAUAGAUACCUAAAAAACGACUUAAGUUGUACUUUCAAGUAUUUUUACUUAAGUACUUUACACCACUAUGGAUGACACAAGAACGACCAGAUUUUACAGCACUGCAAGAGAAGCAAGGGGUGAAAUUCAAGAUCUAGGUAAAAAUGUCAAAAUUCAAGGGAAAUGCACCUCCGUAGAGCCGGAAAAAGAGGAGGAAUUUGUUUUCCUGGACUACAUAGAGCAAGAAGAUACUCACAAGGACCAACUUCAUGGUUAGCUCCAUGUGAAUGCUGUCCCCAUGAUUUCCAAAGAAGACAAGAGGUUGCCGCCGAGGUCAGGCUCUGAGAAGUAGCAGAGGACUCUGGAGCAACAGCUGUGGUCAUUGAAAGAUGGGACCAAAGUGGCGACAGCGAGCCCUGAUUCUAUCAUCGAGUUUCGUGAUAUAGACUUCCUUCUCGAGGAAACAAGCAAAAAGACGAAAAAGAAAACUCAAGGACAGCAGAAAAUCUAUGGUACGCCAGAUAUGGAGGGUUGACACCUGUUGCAACGGAUGUGGCGCAGUCAUGCACUGCACCUGAUGUGGCAGGCUAUCUACCAAGUGAGAAGUAUAAACUUUUGCUAGAGGAGAAGGAAUUGAAAAAAGCCAUUUGUCAUCGUUGUUACUUGCUCACACACCACCAAACGGCAUUGACUGUCAAGAUGUCCAAGGAGGAACAUCUGGAUAUAGUCUGCAGGGUCAAAACAGAGAAAGCCUUGGUACUGUUCAUCGUGGAUCUCCUGGACAUCCCAUACUCCAUAGUACCAGACUUGCUAUAGCUUGUUGGAGAAAACAAACACAUAGUGGUUCUGGGUAAUAAAGUGGACUUGCUCCCUGGAGAAUCUGAAAACUACUUGCAAAGGAUAAAACGUCAGCUUUCCCAGUACUGUGCUGAUGUAGGCAUUUCCAGUGAUAAUAUCAAAGAUACCCUCCUCAUUAGAACCAAAACGGAAUAUGGCAUAGAAAAUCAAAUCUCCAGAGAUUGUGGAAGUACAAUGGAGAAGUGUAUCUAGCGGGAAUGGCCAACACGGGGAAAUCCAGAGCCUCGGAGCCACCAUAUCUCCAUGGCCUGGUAUAAUGCUGAACCUUCUGAAGUUCCCCAUCAUCAACCCCAUUCGUUACUGCUUGUUCAGGAGGUCCAAGAGGCUCCAGAGUGCCUCCAAGCAGACGGAGAGUGAUCUCUCUCCACAGGAGCUCAAGCGACUGGAACAGUUCAGCAAGCAGGGCUACCUAGUGGGUUGUAUUGGGAGGACGUUCUGGACCGUCGUAGAAUCCAAAAGAGGCCUGAUACAGUUUGAUCCUGAUAGUCUGGCCUAUGGAGAGGACAUGAUUGACAAGGAGGAGAGAGACCGUACUCUUUUCAACCCUUCUCCAGAUGUGGGCUUGACGCUCAACAAAGAAAAAAUGCCAAAGAAAGAUGCCCACUGGCUCUAUGACACCCCUGGCAUCAUGAAAGAGCAUGAUGUGAGCUACUGUUUGCUUCCGCUUGGCGCCACUGCUGGCUGUUACGCCGGGCUAAAACGACUUCAACGUGGCCAGUAUAAUUGUUGUUUCAUAGAUUACAGUGUAGCUCAUAAUGGAACCCUGUACCUUCCUAAUUGAAACAGCGUGUAUACAUGGUGUAGCUGUUUACCAUCACAAGGAGAGAACACUGCUGACUAAUUAAUACCACUCGACUUAGUUUCCCUUCUGAUGCAAGAGGGUUGGUAGAUACAAAUAGUACCUUUGCAUGUCCUCUGGGGGAACAAGGUGUGUCUAUUUCUCCUAUUACUAGGCUAUACCACAAAGUAUAAUUUGCACAAGCAGGAUGCCAUGAUACAUUUACGCACACUGCAAUAGAACAGAAUUAUCUAUGAAGUGGUCACUGCAGUAGAUUUAUGACUGGUUAAUUAUUGCAUUGUACCACUCUCAUAAGGGGUUUCUUACAAGAAAAUCCCAGACUAGUGUUGAACAAUGCCAACCAUUCAGCUCACAAUCUUCUGUUGAUUGCUAUAAACCAAGGCACAGUGCCCCCCCACCCACACUCUCUUUCUCACUCAAGUCAAAGUUUAUUUGUCACGUGCGCCGAAUACAACAGGUGUAGACCUGACGGUGAAAUGCUUACUUACAGGCUCUAACCAAUAGUGCAAAAAAGGUAUUAGGUGAACAAUAGGUAGGUAAAGAAAUAAAAC
This is a long non-coding RNA of Salmo salar (Atlantic salmon), 3579 nucleotides long. RefSeq lists it as uncharacterized. The record is from RefSeq and is a predicted model, not a curated record. Lineage: Eukaryota; Metazoa; Chordata; Actinopteri; Salmoniformes; Salmonidae.